Molecule: RNA transcript, 8106 nt
Organism: Anopheles gambiae (African malaria mosquito)
Lineage: Eukaryota; Metazoa; Arthropoda; Insecta; Diptera; Culicidae
Gene name: dystrophin
Exons: 19
Source: RefSeq, a predicted model, not a curated record
UGCUAGCAAAAAGGACCGAGAGCAAAUGGCUGUGGCUGUGCCAAGAGCUAGGGGAACAUUUCGGUUCUAAUUUUCCAUUUUUCGUAUCACGGUUUAUUUUACACGGCAAUCGGUUGCAAAUAUAAAUGUAUAAAAUGCAAAUGUGUCGAGUGUAGCUUUGUGUGUACGAUUGAACAUGAACGCUGUUUCGGUUCAAUGAUGAAAAUUUAUUAGCCGAAAGAUAGUGAUCAUAACACAUAUCAAGCAGUGAUUAAAAAUAUCGAGCCCUUUAGCGUGCCUGGUGGUAGGUAUUUAUCAAGCUUGUACCAUUCGAAGGGUAGAGAAAACCUCGUAACUCGUUCUAAAUACAUGUGGAAUUGUGGGGCGCGGUUAUGCUUUAGGGGUAAACUAUUUAUUUCUCACUUUUCUUGAGGUUUAUGAAGAAAGUAAAAUCGAACCUGAUUUCGACCCCGUUGAGUGGAAAUCUGUGUAAAUUUGCCAGGACGCGACUGUACAACAAAUUGCUGCAAUAGUAUAGGAAUGUUCAACGUUGAUUCUUUUUGAGCAGGAAAAGCACAAUGUUUUCACAAUUGAUGUUCAUUUAUCACAAGCGUUAACUAGCAGCAUUAGCUGAUGUGACUAGAGUGUGUGCCAUUUUUUUGUCGGUGUGAAAAAUACAAGUGUAAGUCAUGGAUCAGCAUCAGUCCGUUGCCUUGAAGGAAACGUAUACGCGUCCCGCUGGUGUAGAAUCAUCCAACACGCAUCUUUUUCGUGCAAACCAUACAAAACCGCCUGAAAUACCUGUCCGUGUCGGUGCAGGGAGUGUUAAAGCACCAGAAAUACCUCCAAAGAAUCUCACGAAACGACCAACCACUAUUGGAGCUGCCAGCAAGGAUGAAAAUAUUCCUAGCGCUGGUAUGCUAUUAUCGCAACGUGUUGCACCAAACCGUGCGCCUCCCUUGCCGCAAAAGUUGGCAAACGCUGCGCAGGGUAGCAUCAACAGCACUGCAAUUAUUCAACCAGCGCCACAACCCGUUGGUUCUAGUGUGGGAGUGUCUGGAGGGAUUGCUGUAACAACAACAACAACAACAGCAGCAGCAGCGGCAUUGGUAGCUCCUAUGCCAACUAGGACUAUUGAUGCAAUAAGCAAGGAUCGUCCAGUUACUGCUAAGACGUCAAAACCUGCUAAGCUAGAAGAUUAUGGGUCGGAGGAUGCUCUACGAGGCAUUGAGAGCGGCUUGCGAAAUGUUGAAAGAGCCAUCAAAGAGCAAAUGAGCUUACGGUCUUCUGUAGAGUUAGAGGAGCACCAAAAUAACAUCACGCAUCAAGUAAAAUAUGGACGCUUGGAUCUGAUGGGCAAACAUACAAAUUCAAUGGGAUCAGCCACGUCUUUGGAUAAUCCGUUUGAUGCCGCGCCAGCUUCUGCUCCCGGCAUUGCACAAGGGUUUAAGUUUGAUCGGUUCGAUCAGAAUCCCAAGCAAAUCGGAUUGGAGCGUGGUGUUAGCAUGGAGAAAUUGCGCUACGAUGCUGGUGGAUCAGGCUCAUUUCACGAUCAUAGCUCGAAUGGCACCGAACACGUCAUGCCGCAAAGACCGAUGGACCAUCAGUUUCGGUCGCUGGAUCGCCAUCUGCCGCUCGAAUUGCAGUACGGAAAUAGCCAACAGCAGCGGCAACGUUCACAAGAAAUGGAAUUUAUCAAACAACAACUACUUCCUGUUAUUGCACGAAACAAAGAAACAAACAGCUUAAACCGUCAAAUGGGACUUUCUAAGGACGAUCUUCGAACAAGAAGACGCUCAUCUCAUGAUGAGAGCCUUUUUUCGAUGAACAAUUCAGCUCCCCGAAUGAAAGAGCAAUGGGAGGAUACAAACCAGUCGGUAAUGCAACGCAAAACCCAACUAACGGCAAUGCUUGGCGACUCUCAAAGAUACGAAGCAAAGCGCCUGGAAAUAGACGCUUGGUUAAGUAGGAUGGAGACAAUAACGGAACGGAUGGGACCAGUAGCAACGACGGCCGACGUAUUGGACAUUCAACAAAAAGAGCAAAAGUCGUUUCAUGCGGAGCUGCAUAAAUUUAAUCAUCAAAUUGAGUUAUUCAACCAACUGACCCAAAAGUUAAUAUCAGUCUACCAGUGUGACGAUACAUCGAGAAUUAAGCGUAUGACGGAAUCAAUCAACUUGAGGUACAAUAACUUAAAUAACUCCAUCAUAUCAAGAGGAAAACAGCUUCAUGCCGCCAUCCAUUCAUUGCAAACAUUUGAUCGUACAUUUGAACAGUUCCUUGGUUGGCUGAGUGAAGCUGAAUCUUUAUGUGAAAACACUGAAACCGAAGCAGAAAGGAAUCCGCAUUGCUUAAAGGAUUUGCAAUCUGAAAUCGACGCAAACCGCAAGGUUUAUGAAGGAUUGGAUAAUACUGGACGUAAAUUGCUGCGCUCACUAACUUCCCAGGAAGAUGCAGUGAUGUUGCAGCACAAGCUAGAUGAAAUGAAUCAACGCUGGAAUCAUCUGAACUCGCGCAGUGCUGCCAUCAGAAAUCGGCUGGAAUCUAACUCUGAUCACUGGAAUGCUUUAUUACUUUCGUCGCGCGAGCUUACCGAAUGGGUAAUUCGAAAAAAUACCGAACUCACCUCAAUCGGUUUUGGCUCAAUCAAUGGAGACUCCAACAGUUUACAAAUGCAGCUGGAUGAACACAAAGCAUUUCGCCGGCAGCUUGACGAUAAGCGGUCAAUCAUUGAAAACAAUCUAAUGAAUGGAAGGCAAUACAUAUCAAAUGAAUCACCACUCUCUGAUACCAGCGAUUCCGAAGCGAUUGACGAAACAAUGUAUAUUUCUACGGAAGAGCAAAAUCGUAUCCUCAGCCGAAGCAUACGCAGAGAGGUCAACAAACUGUCGGAACAGUGGAGUUUGUUGAUUGAAAGGUGUGAUAAAUGGAAGCAUCGUCUGGAUGAAAAUAUAACGAAAAUGCGCCAGUUCCAAAAAAUCUUGGAAGAUCUAAGUUCGCGAGUAGCAUCAGCCGAGACAAUUACACAUUCAUGGACGACCCCAGCUCCUGGAUCAGACACAACAGAAGAAAUGCAACAUUUGCAGCGUUUGAAAGACAAACUUACAACAGCAAAUGCACUACUGGAUGACUGCAACGAGCAGCAGAAUUUUUUCUCGUCUUGUCGAGUAAUUGUUCCGAGCCCUUAUUUGGCAAAACUAGAGGACAUUAACACUCGUAUGAAGCUUUUGCACAUUGCUGUGGAAGAGCGAUUCAAGGUACUGCAGCAAAGUAUGCAAACAACUGCCGAAGAUGGUAUAGUUGGGAGCCACCAUGAGGAGGGUGGCAAAUUUUCAAAACCUCUUCACAUUGCCGCCGGAAGUUCGACUGUUCCAAACUUAGAGAAAAGUGUCCAAAUACCAUGGGAACGUGCAGUGACACCUGCUAAUGUGCCUUAUUAUAUCAAUCAUGAACGCGAAAGCACACAUUGGGAUCAUCCAGAAAUGAUAGAACUAAUGAAAUCACUGGCUGAUUUGAAUGAAGUCCGUUUUUCAGCAUACCGUACUGCUUUGAAGCUCCGUACUGUGCAGAAAAAGCUAGCGUUUGACCGUUUGAAUAUGAGUGUAGCGAUUGAAAUAUUUGACCGAUAUGGCUUACGUGCACAAAAUGACAAGCUAAUUGAUAUUCCCGAUAUGACAACGAUUUUAAAUUCAUUGUACACAACGCUUGAACCCAUCGAUCGAGCAGUAAUGCUUGAUUUAGCUAUCAAUUGGGUUCUCAAUGUGUACGAUUCACAGCGUACGGGACAAAUAAGGGUGCUCAGUUUCAAGGUGGGUUUGAUUUUACUGUGCCGUGGCCAUCUGGAGGAAAAAUACCGUUACCUUUUCCGAUUGAUUGCUGACCUGGAAAAAAAGGUGGACCAACGAAAAAUGGGGCUACUGUUGCACGAUUGUAUACAAGUGCCCCGCCAGUUGGGAGAAGUUGCUGCGUUUGGUGGAUCAAAUAUUGAACCUUCAGUUCGAUCGUGCUUCGAACUCGCUGGAGGCGUUAAUCAAAAUGGAGAGCUGACGGAGACAGCCAUUGAGGCGCAGCAUUUCCUUAGUUGGCUACAACAUGAACCGCAAAGCAUUGUAUGGCUUCCUGUACUUCAUAGACUUGUUGCAGCUGAAACUGCAAAACAUCAAGCAAAAUGUAACAUAUGCAAGGAGUACCCAAUUGAAGGCUUUCGGUACCGCUGCUUGAAAUGUUUCAAUUUCGAUAUGUGCCAAAAGUGUUUCUUCACUGGUCGCAGCACAAAGAACCAUAAGCUCAGUCAUCCUAUGCAUGAAUACUGCACAACGGCUACAUCAACAGAAGACGUUAGAGAUUUCACAAGAGCAUUAAGGAACAAAUUUAAGAGUCGAAAGUAUUUUAAGAAACACCCCCGCGUGGGUUACCUUCCCGUUCAAAGUGUUUUAGAAGGAGACGCUUUGGAAAGUCCUAUACCCAGCCCGCAGCACGGAACGCAUACACUACAAAAUGAUAUGCACUCCCGUCUGGAAAUGUAUGCUUCUCGAUUAGCGCAAGUUGAGUGUGGAACUAGAUCAAAUUCUACACCGGAUAGUGAUGAUGAGCACCAACUGAUUGCGCAGUACUGUCAAGCAUUACCCGCUGCGAAUGCUGUUGGAAAUAGUACGGGAAGCGGUGGGCCGAAGUCUCCCGUUCAAGUGAUGGCUGCAAUGGAAGCGGAACAGCGCGAAGAGUUAGAAACCAUGAUAAAGGAGCUGGAAGAAGAAAAUGCGAAUUUGCAAGCGGAGUAUGAGAAACUUAAGGCAAAGAAAACAAGCACACCCAUCACUACACCGGACGAAGGAUAUAAAACUCCAACAUCGACAUCUAAUGCCAUUGUCUCAUCUGUGACCACAUCAUCAUCUGGAGGAUCGGACAUGGUUACCGAGGCCAAACUGCUCCGACAACACAAAGGACGAUUAGAAGCAAGGAUGCAAAUAUUAGAAGACCACAAUAAACAGUUGGAGGCACAGUUACAACGUCUUCGACAAUUGCUGCAUGAGCCAACAAUUCCUAAACCACAAACGCUGCAAACUCGGUCCGUCACAGCAUCACAACUGAAUACCGAUUCGCCGGCCAAAAUGCAACACAAUGGACAUUAUGAUCAUAAGAUAUCUUCGGAAUCCUCUCAAAAACCAGCUUCAUUUUAUGGCGCCGUCGGAGGAGGCAGCGUAAACGGAUUCUUGUCAAUGGCAGGCGAAGAAAUGAGGCAACGUGAGCAAUACAGUGUGGAUGCAUUUGAUAAGACGGGUGCUGGAGUAGCUGCUGUCACCAAUGCUUUUGCCGCCAAUAAACCUGCUGGAUCUAAUGGAGGUGGCGUUGGUAUUGGGAGUAGUGGUGCAAAUAGUAAUAUCAUGUCAUCCGAAUAUACUAUGGAUGAGCGACCACCUCCGCCACCCCAUUCAAGUUUGUUGCACAUGGCCGGAAGAAUACAGUAAAUAAAAUUAUUUAUCUUAUUCUAUGUUGUACUUCUCGCAUAGUCGCAGUUAUUAAAAACGACCUCAAUAAAGCUGUGGAGGAAUUGGUGCACAUCAUGACGACGGAGUCAAAAGAUGAUUUGCAAAACGAUAGCACAAACGUUGGACUGCAAUAAACAAUAAGGUAGUAGUGGUAGUGCGUAUCGCUAAAAGAUAGUUAAUGAACCCCAUUGUCUAAUUCGAUCGAUAUCCUAUUGGGAAACAUAGUCAUGCAUAUCCUUUACGUAUCAUGAAAUAAUUACAGGCUUUUGAAUUGAAUAGCUAACAUCUAGUAACAAACAGGCAUCAUUUGGAAACACACACGUUGCUCCAAUUGCCGAUUUCACACUCGAUAGCGAAGUUCGUGUUUCACAAAUAUUUAUAUUAUUAUUAUUAGUUAUUGAUCCAAGUAUGAUAUCCAUCAUUGGUACGGACAUUAUCUAUUAUACAAAGAUAUAUCCUAUAUACGAAAAAUAUGCAUACAUGCAAAUAAUUUUAACAAAGCCACAUAGCUUACCUUCAGCUAAAUAACCAUUCAUAUCAUAUGAUGCAUAAUGUUAACUAUCGUAAAAAGGCAAAAAGAAUACGCGCAACAACUGACGAUACGUUUUUCAUUCAUUUAAUUUAUGCUGCGUUUUCUCUGCUCAGUUUAGCAAGUUUAACAAAGCGACUUUUUAAAGUAUGUUUCGUAACAUGUUAUAUAUCUUGUAUGCUCUUGUAUGAAAAGUGUAGUAAAUCAUACUUUCCUGUUGGUUUUGUUGCAAUCAUUGCUAUUAAAGUGUUAUUUUCAUCAGAUGAUAAAACAAUGUGAAUUGUAUUGAAUAAUUUUAAUUUUUUUUUAUAAAGAUUUCCAUAAAUAGAUUUCAAAAGAUGGCAUUCUAUGUAAUAAAAGAAGGCAAAAUAGAAACACCAAAAAUAAUUGCAACUUAUCAGCGCGUAACAUUUAUUUUGCGUGGUGAUUUUAAUUAGUUAUAUUAAAUUAUUCGUCGAAAAAAAUAUUUGUUUAUUGUGAAGACAAGUAAACAUCGUUCUAAAAAAGUAUUAACAAAAAUGCAAUACAUUUCGCACAUAAUGAUUCAACAUCGAACAGUUUAAAAUGUAUCGUUGUGUAGAGGUGACCAUGAUAAGAAAAUGCAAAUAAGUCGACAAAUGAAUGUAUUCCGACAAUGAAAAUUCAACAUUCAACUCUGUUCAACGAAUUUUGUGCUUUGUCGUUUGUUUAGCGACUACCAUACAUAUCAAAGACACAAUAACAACUGGAAAAUAGCGUAACAAUCUGAUCGAUUAAAAGUGGAUAUUAACUUGAAGAAUAAAAAAACAGGAUAAUAAAAUGAUUAAACCAAAACAAAUGGUGUCAAUCGCAUUAAAGCCGGGGGACACUGCCCGUACUCGCUGGUGGAAUUUCGAUUUUCACUAGCGCACCUGGCGGCGGCUGACCGAAGCAUUUUUCUAAACAAUUUGGAGCCUCUCCAGAAAAUAUAUUAGUUUUCCAUGUUUUAUACUUAACUUGGGCAAUAAAAGUUUUGUUAAAGGUAGAUACACAUGUUUUGCACGCAUUGCAUCCAUUUUCGCUAUGAAAAAAAGGUGAAAAUAUUACUUUAUUUUGAGAUCCAGCACGUCCAUUCCCUCGAUGACCAAAAAAAGCUUCCACCAGCACAAACCAGAUGCGCUAGUGAAAGUCGAAAUUACACUAGCGAGUACGGCCAGUAUCCCCCGGCCUUUAAGUUUACGGAAAGGCAACGUGAAAACGUCAUACAUCUCACAAAAGUUAAAUCCAAAAUGAAAUAAGAAGGAUCGUUUAGUUAUAUGUCGUACUACCAUACAAAAGACACUCUACUAACCUUUAUAUAGACAUAUCUUCCAUUUUUUUACAAACCGGAUACUCCAACUCCAUAAAUUCUCGACAUUAGUGAAACAUAUUAACAAACCUGUAAUGCCAUCUUUCUAUGUAGACGCAUUGUUAUUAAAACAUCCAAACUAAGCAGUAGUUAAAUAUUCUUAUGACAUUAACAAAAACAAAAAAACAUUACCUUCGCAUUACCUGUACUAUUGCACUCCGGCAAAUAACAUUUUCUAAAACAAGUUUGACUAGUAUAAGUAUUCAGCGGUAUUUGAAAUUAUCGUCUAUAUGUGCGAGUGCUAGUGCGAUUCCUAAGCAAUUGUUUGAAGAGGGCCCAAGGAAAACUCUAUACCUAUUACACAUAAACGACACGAACAUGACAGGGAAACAACAAUGAUAAUAUUCGUCAGUAUAAUAAAUGCUUUGAUCGCAAUGUCUUACAUCUCAUGUUGUAUUAUCAACAGCAAACAUAACAUAUUCAGCAACACUAGUAGAUGAAGAAUGUUUUAACCCCCGGUGCGUGCACUUCAACUAUGCUUUACUUAAUUUGAAGCGAAAAUCCCAUAGGAUAAGUGCACCAUUGAUUGUAAACCAACGGAUGUAGAUUGAUGCUCAAUCUCGAAGGAAAAUUAUUGCUGGAUAAAAACACAACAUUAUGGCAUGUUUAAAUUGCUUACAAAUAUACUAAGAAUAGAAGCUGUGCGACGGUAUACAACUAAUCAUCCAUGCAAGAUAGUAGUAGUUGUUGCAUACAAAGGAAUACAGAAACAAAACUCAAUAAACAAACAAUGAUAGAACAAAACA